AGGCGGGCUGGACACCCUCCAGCCGGGCACUGCUUCACGGCGUGCGCGGCUGGAGCCGGCCCUGCUGAAUUAUUCACCCGUGUCUUUUGCGUACUUCUUGUUUCCUGGGUGGGCUCGCCCGCCAUCAGGACCAACCAUAAACCUUUUUGUAAUAGCAAUCAGCGUCAGUAACAACGUAAUUAAUUACAACUUUCAACAACGGAUCUCUUGGUUCUGGCAUCGAUGAAGAACGCAGCGAAAUGCGAUACGUAGUGUGAAUUGCAGAAUUCAGUGAAUCAUCGAAUCUUUGAACGCACAUUGCGCCCUUUGGUAUUCCAAAGGGCAUGCCUGUUCGAGCGUCAUUUGUACCCUCAAGCUUUGCUUGGUGUUGGGCGUCUUUUGUCUCCAGCUCGCUGGAGACUCGCCUUAAAGUCAUUGGCAGCCGGCCUACUGGUUUCGGAGCGCAGCACAAGUCGCGCUCUUGCCCAGCCAAGGUCAGCGUCCAGCAAGCCUUUUUUCAACCUUUGACCUCGGAUCAGGUAGGGAUACCCGCUGAACUUAAGCAUA
This 546-nucleotide ribosomal RNA is filed under the name Alternaria sp. XAE_154. Its description in RNAcentral is "eukaryotic LSU rRNA". The stretch from base 188 to 341 matches the Rfam family "5.8S ribosomal RNA". Lineage: Eukaryota; Fungi; Ascomycota; Dothideomycetes; Pleosporales; Pleosporaceae. The record is from RNAcentral.